AUACGGAGGAUCCGAGCGUUAUCCGGAUUUAUUGGGUUUAAAGGGAGCGUAGGCGGACGCUUAAGUCAGUUGUGAAAGUUUGCGGCUCAACCGUAAAAUUGCAGUUGAUACUGUGUGUCUUGAGUACAGUAGAGGCAGGCGGAAUUCGUGGUGUAGCGGUGAAAUGCUUAGAUAUCACGAAGAACACCGAUUGCGAAGGCAGCCUGCUGGACUGUAACUGACGCUGAUGCUCGAAAGUGUGGGUAUCAAACAGGAUUAGAUACCCUGGUAGUCCACACAGUAAACGAUGAAUACUCGCUGUUUGCGAUAUACAGUAAGCGGCCAAGCGAAAGCGUUAAGUAUUCCACCUGGGGAGUACGCCGGCAACGGUGAAACUCAAAGGAAUUGACGGGG
Molecule: ribosomal RNA, 393 nt
Filed under: uncultured bacterium
Lineage: Bacteria
Description: partial 16S ribosomal RNA
Rfam family: Bacterial small subunit ribosomal RNA
Source: RNAcentral